Molecule: non-coding RNA, 82 nt
Organism: Acanthosepion pharaonis
Lineage: Eukaryota; Metazoa; Mollusca; Cephalopoda; Sepiida; Sepiidae
Source: the annotation of a GenBank genome assembly
CAUCGGAUCACCGAAAUUAAGUAACAUCGAGCCUGGUCAGUACUUAGAUGGGUAACCGCUUGGGAAUACCAGGUGCUGUAAG